UACAGAGGUCCCAAGCGUUGAUCGGAUUCACUGGGCGUAAAGGGUGCGUAGGUGGUGAGGUAAGUCGGAUGUGAAAUCUCCGAGCUCAACUCGGAAAUGGCAUUGGAAACUACCUUGCUCGAGGGUUGGAGGGGGGACUGGAAUGCUUGGUGUAGCAGUGAAAUGCGUAGAUAUCAAGCGGAACACCAGUGGCGAAGGCGAGUCCCUGGACAACUCCUGACACGGAGGCACGAAAGCUAGGGGAGCAAACAGG
RNAcentral lists this ribosomal RNA (253 nucleotides) under uncultured bacterium. RNAcentral's name for it is "partial 16S ribosomal RNA". It matches the Rfam family "Bacterial small subunit ribosomal RNA", at positions 524 to 776 of the family's 1533-position model. The record is from RNAcentral.